Molecule: ribosomal RNA, 484 nt
Filed under: uncultured bacterium
Lineage: Bacteria
Description: partial 16S ribosomal RNA
Rfam family: Bacterial small subunit ribosomal RNA
Source: RNAcentral
AUUGAACGCUGGCGGCAUGCUUUACACAUGCAAGUCGAACGGCAGCGCGGGCUUCGGCCUGGCGGCGAGUGGCGAACGGGUGAGUAAUGCAUCGGAACGUGCCCAGUAGUGGGGGAUAGCCCGGCGAAAGCCGGAUUAAUACCGCAUACGACCUGAGGGUGAAAGCGGGGGACCGAAAGGCCUCGCGCUAUUGGAGCGGGCGAUGUCGGAUUAGCUAGUUGGUGGGGUAAAGGCUUACCAAGGCGACGAUCCGUAGCUGGUCUGAGAGGACGACCAGCCACACUGGGACUGAGACACGGCCCAGACUCCUACGGGAGGCAGCAGUGGGGAAUUUUGGACAAUGGGGGCAACCCUGAUCCAGCCAUGCCGCGUGCGGGAAGAAGGCCUUCGGGUUGUAAACCGCUUUUGUUCGGGAAGAAAUCCUCUGGGCUAAUACCCCGGGGGGAUGACGGUACCGGAAGAAUAAGCACCGGCUAACUACGUG